AUUGCCAAUGAGCUCCUGCAAACCGAGAAGGCCUAUGUUUCCAGGCUUCAUCUCCUGGAUCAGGUAUUCUGUGCCCGGCUGCUGGAAGAAGCUCGGAAUCGCAGUUCCUUCCCCGCAGAUGUUGUCCAAGGCAUCUUCUCUAACAUCUGCUCGAUCUAUUGCUUCCACCAGCAGUUCCUGCUGCCUGAGCUAGAGAAGCGCAUGGAGGAAUGGUACCGCUACCCACGCAUUGGUGACAUCCUUCAGAAAUUGGCACCCUUCCUCAAGAUGUAUGGCGAGUAUGUGAAAAACUUCGACAGGGCUGUAGAGCUGGUCAAUACAUGAACAGAGCGCUCUACUCAGUUUAAAGUCAUCAUCCAUGAAGUACAGAAAGAGGAAGCCUGUGGAAACCUGACCUUGCAGCACCACAUGUUGGAGCCCGUGCAGUGUAUCCCCCGCUAUGAGCUUCUUCUCAAGGACUAUCUUUUAAAGCUGCCUCAUGGCUCCCCGGACAGCAAGGAUGCCCAGAAGUCUUUGGAGCUGAUAGCCACAGCAGCAGAACACUCUAAUGCUGCCAUCUGUAAAAUGGAACGAAUUCACAAGCUGCUGAAGGUCUAUGAGCUGCUAGGGGGUGAGGAGGACAUUGUCAGUCCCACCAAAGAGCUCAUAAAAGAAGGUCAUAUCCUUAAACUGUCAGCAAAGAAUGGGACCACACAAGAUCGAUACCUCAUAUUAUUCAACGACCGCCUCCUUUACUGCGUGCCCAGGCUGCGGCUCCUUGGCCAGAAGUUUAGCGUGUGGGCACGUAUUGAUGUAGAUGGCAUGGAGCUAAAGGAGAGCUCCAACCUCAACAUGCCUCGGACCUUCCUGGUGUCAGGAAAGCAGCGCUCUCUCGAACUCCAGGCCAGGACUGAGGAAGAGAAGAAAGACUGGGUCCAGGCCAUCAAUUCCACCCUCCUGAAGCAUGAACAGACCCUGGAGACUUUCAAACUGUUGAAC
Mastomys coucha (southern multimammate mouse) is the source of this 978-nucleotide RNA transcript. It is a transcript of the gene named FYVE, RhoGEF and PH domain-containing protein 1 pseudogene, with no coding region annotated. NCBI's taxonomy places the organism in Eukaryota, Metazoa, Chordata, Mammalia, Rodentia, Muridae. The record is from RefSeq and is a predicted model, not a curated record. The transcript has a single exon.